Molecule: unclassified non-coding RNA, 108 nt
Filed under: Peribacillus simplex
Lineage: Bacteria; Bacillati; Bacillota; Bacilli; Caryophanales; Bacillaceae
Source: RNAcentral
GAGCGCCGGAUGCUGGGAAACUAGCACGUCCAUGGCGUGGAGCAGGGGAAAAGCUAACGGGUGCGUUCGUAUUAUAAGGUUAGCCAGUUUUUACUGGUUGACCUUUUU